This 253-nucleotide ribosomal RNA is filed under the name uncultured bacterium. Its description in RNAcentral is "partial 16S ribosomal RNA". It matches the Rfam family "Bacterial small subunit ribosomal RNA", at positions 524 to 776 of the family's 1533-position model. The record is from RNAcentral.
UACGUAGGGUGCGAGCGUUAAUCGGAAUUACUGGGCGUAAAGCGUGCGCAGGCGGUUUGUUAAGUCUGAUGUGAAAGCCCCGGGCUCAACCUGGGAACUGCAUUGGAAACUGGCAAGCUCGAGUAUGGCAGAGGGGGGUGGAAUUCCGCGUGUAGCAGUGAAAUGCGUAGAGAUGCGGAGGAACACCGAUGGCGAAGGCAGCCCCCUGGGCCAAUACUGACGCUCGGGCACGAAAGCGUGGGGAGCAAACAGG